GCGUGCAGUGCCCUACUCAAGACAGUGGCAAUCAUGUCUAAUUAAAUGUGAUUGACACGUCUGUGAGUAGAGUAAUGCAUGA
This 82-nucleotide microRNA precursor is filed under the name Oryctolagus cuniculus (rabbit). Lineage: Eukaryota; Metazoa; Chordata; Mammalia; Lagomorpha; Leporidae. The record is from RNAcentral.